UUUAAAGGGGAAAAUGUAACAAGGUUUCCGUAGGUGAACCUGCGGAAGGAUCAUUA
This 56-nucleotide ribosomal RNA is filed under the name Phytophthora palmivora. Its description in RNAcentral is "partial 18S ribosomal RNA". It matches the Rfam family "Eukaryotic small subunit ribosomal RNA", at positions 1774 to 1831 of the family's 1831-position model. The record is from RNAcentral. Lineage: Eukaryota; Oomycota; Peronosporomycetes; Peronosporales; Peronosporaceae.